CAAUAGCGUAUAUUAAAGUUGUUGCAGUUAAAAAGCUCGUAGUCUGAUUUUUGGGGGGCAUGGCGCGUCCAGGCUAUUGGUCUGCGCACGGCGCUGUGUCUGCCAUUACCUUCGGAGGAGGCGUAGUGCUAUUAGUUUAGUGGUGCGUUUAUUCCGAUAGUUUACUUUGAGAAAAAUAGAGUGUUCAAAGCAGGCGAUUGCCUUGAAUACAUUAGCAUGGGAUAAUGGAAUAGGACGUUGGUUCUAUUUUGAUGGUUUACGGACCGACGUAAUGAUUAAUAGGGACAGUUGGGGACAUUUGUAUUCCAUGGCUAGAGGUGAAAUUCUUGGAUUCAUGGAAGACAAACUACUGCGAAAGCAUUUGUCAAAGAUGUUUUCAUUGA
RNAcentral lists this ribosomal RNA (383 nucleotides) under uncultured eukaryote. Its description in RNAcentral is "partial 18S ribosomal RNA". It matches the Rfam family "Eukaryotic small subunit ribosomal RNA", at positions 592 to 976 of the family's 1831-position model. The record is from RNAcentral.